GACGAACGCUGGCGGCGUGCUUAACACAUGCAAGUCGAACGAUGAUGCUCCAGCUUGCUGGGGUGGAUUAGUGGCGAACGGGUUAGUAACACGUGAGUAACCUGCCCCCUUCUUCGGGAUAAGCUUGGGAAACUGGGUCUAAUACUGGAUAUUCUGCAAUUGUCGCAUGGUGGUUGUGGGAAAGAUUUUUUGGUGGGGGAUGGGCUCGCGGCCUAUCAGCUUGUUGGUGGGGUGAUGGCCUACCAAGGCGUCGACGGGUAGCCGGCCUGAGAGGGUGACCGGCCACACUGGGACUGAGAUACGGCCCAGACUCCUACGGGAGGCAGCAGUGGGGAAUAUUGCACAAUGGGCGCAAGCUUGAUGCAGCGACGCCGCGUGAGGGAUGACGGCUUUCGGGUUGUAAACCUCUUUCGAUGGGGAACAAGGCCAUAUUUUUGUGUGGUUGAGGGUACCUGUAUAAGAAGCGCCGGCUAACUACGUG
Molecule: ribosomal RNA, 481 nt
Filed under: uncultured bacterium
Lineage: Bacteria
Description: partial 16S ribosomal RNA
Rfam family: Bacterial small subunit ribosomal RNA
Source: RNAcentral